This 253-nucleotide ribosomal RNA is filed under the name uncultured bacterium. Its description in RNAcentral is "partial 16S ribosomal RNA". It matches the Rfam family "Bacterial small subunit ribosomal RNA", at positions 524 to 776 of the family's 1533-position model. The record is from RNAcentral.
UACGGGGGGGGCAAGCGUUGUUCGGAAUUACUGGGCGUAAAGGGCUCGUAGGCGGCCAACUAAGUCAGACGUGAAAUCCCUCGGCUUAACCGGGGAACUGCAUCUGAUACUGGAUGGCUUGAGUUCGGGAGAGGGAUGCGGAAUUCCAGGUGUAGCGGUGAAAUGCGUAGAUAUCUGGAGGAACACCGGUGGCGAAGGCGGCAUCCUGGACCGACACUGACGUUGAGGAGCGAAAGCCAGGGGAGCAAACGGG